This 88-nucleotide transfer RNA is filed under the name Prevotella veroralis. RNAcentral's name for it is "tRNA-Ser". It matches the Rfam family "tRNA". From Rfam's summary of the family: Transfer RNA (tRNA) molecules are approximately 80 nucleotides in length. Their secondary structure includes four short double-helical elements and three loops (D, anti-codon, and T loops). Further hydrogen bonds mediate the characteristic L-shaped molecular structure. tRNAs have two regions of fundamental functional importance: the anti-codon, which is responsible for specific mRNA codon recognition, and the 3' end, to which the tRNAs corresponding amino acid is attached (by aminoacyl-tRNA synthetases). tRNAs cope with the degeneracy of the genetic code in two manners: having more than one tRNA (with a specific anti-codon) for a particular amino acid; and 'wobble' base-pairing, i.e. permitting non-standard base-pairing at the 3rd anti-codon position. The record is from RNAcentral. RNAcentral also lists the same sequence under 1 other name. Lineage: Bacteria; Pseudomonadati; Bacteroidota; Bacteroidia; Bacteroidales; Prevotellaceae.
GGAAAGAUGCUCGAGUGGUUGAAGAGGCACGCCUGGAAAGCGUGUAAACGACAAAAUCGUUUCGGGGGUUCGAAUCCCCCUCUUUCCG